GAUGAACGCUAGCGGCAGGCUUAACACAUGCAAGUCGAGGGGCAGCACGAUGUAGCAAUACAUUGGUGGCGACCGGCGCACGGGUGCGUAACACGUAUGGAACUUGCCCUUUACUGGAGGAUAGCCCGGAGAAAUCCGGAUUAAUACUCCAUAACAGUUGAGGUGGCAUCACCUUGGCUUGAAAGCUCCGGCGGUAAAGGAUGGCCAUGCGCACGAUAGCUAGUUGGUGAGGUAAUGGCUCACCAAGGCUACGAUCGUUAGGGGGCCUGAGAGGGUUAU
This 279-nucleotide ribosomal RNA is filed under the name uncultured bacterium. Its description in RNAcentral is "partial 16S ribosomal RNA". It matches the Rfam family "Bacterial small subunit ribosomal RNA", at positions 28 to 304 of the family's 1533-position model. The record is from RNAcentral.